AUUGAACGCUGGCGGAAUGCUUUACACAUGCAAGUCGAGCGGCAGCACGGGGGCAACCCUGGUGGCGAGCGGCGAACGGGUGAGUAACACAUCGGAACAUGCCCAGUCGUGGGGGAUAACACUUCGAAAGAAGUGCUAAUACCGCAUACGUCCUGAGGGAGAAAGCGGGGGAUCGCAAGACCUCGCGCGAUUGGAGUGGCCGAUGUCAGAUUAGCUAGUUGGUGGGGUAAAGGCCUACCAAGGCAACGAUCUGUAGCUGGUCUGAGAGGAUGAUCAGCCACACUGGGACUGAGACACGGCCCAGACUCCUACGGGAGGCAGCAGUGGGGAAUUUUGGACAAUGGGGGAAACCCUGAUCCAGCCAUGCCGCGUGAGUGAAGAAGGCCUUCGGGUUGUAAAGCUCUUUCGGCAGGAACGAAACGGUGAGCUCUAACAUAGCUUGCUAAUGACGGUACCUGAAAAAGAAGCACCGGCUAACUACGUG
This 484-nucleotide ribosomal RNA is filed under the name uncultured bacterium. RNAcentral's name for it is "partial 16S ribosomal RNA". It matches the Rfam family "Bacterial small subunit ribosomal RNA", at positions 30 to 507 of the family's 1533-position model. The record is from RNAcentral.